UCCGCAGUAGCUCAGCGGUAGAGCUAUCGGCUGUUAACCGAUCGGUCGUAGGUUCGAGUCCUACCUGCGGAG
RNAcentral lists this transfer RNA (72 nucleotides) under Neobacillus sp. BSR1-1. RNAcentral's name for it is "Paenibacillus sp. BSR1-1 tRNA-Asn". It matches the Rfam family "tRNA". From Rfam's summary of the family: Transfer RNA (tRNA) molecules are approximately 80 nucleotides in length. Their secondary structure includes four short double-helical elements and three loops (D, anti-codon, and T loops). Further hydrogen bonds mediate the characteristic L-shaped molecular structure. tRNAs have two regions of fundamental functional importance: the anti-codon, which is responsible for specific mRNA codon recognition, and the 3' end, to which the tRNAs corresponding amino acid is attached (by aminoacyl-tRNA synthetases). tRNAs cope with the degeneracy of the genetic code in two manners: having more than one tRNA (with a specific anti-codon) for a particular amino acid; and 'wobble' base-pairing, i.e. permitting non-standard base-pairing at the 3rd anti-codon position. Lineage: Bacteria; Bacillati; Bacillota; Bacilli; Caryophanales; Bacillaceae. The record is from RNAcentral.